UGGGGAAUUUUGCGCAAUGGGGGAAACCCUGACGCAGCAACGCCGCGUGAGUGAUGAAGGCCUUCGGGUCGUAAAGCUCUGUCAGAGGGGAAGAAAUGCAGGGGUGCUAAUAUCAUCUUUGCUUGACGGUACCCUCAAAGGAAGCACCGGCUAACUCCCUGCCAGCAGCCGCGGUAAUACGGAGGGUGCGAGCGUUGUUCGGAAUUAUUGGGCGUAAAGCGCGUGUAGGCGGUUUGGUAAGUCUGAUGUGAAAGCCCCGGGCUCGAACUGGGAAUUGCGUUGGAAACUGUCAGACUUGAAUUCGUUAUGGGGUAGUGGAAUUCCUAGUGUAGGAAUGAAAACCAUAGAUAUUAGGAGGAACACAGGUGGCGAAGGCGGCUACCUGGACCGAUAUUGACGCUGAAACGCGAAAGCGUGGGGAGCA
RNAcentral lists this ribosomal RNA (424 nucleotides) under uncultured bacterium. Its description in RNAcentral is "bacterial SSU rRNA". It matches the Rfam family "Bacterial small subunit ribosomal RNA", at positions 355 to 770 of the family's 1533-position model. The record is from RNAcentral.